CUGUCACUGUUCCUGCUACAACUUCUGUUACUACCACUGUGGCCGGUACUACCACCGCAACAACUGGAGAACCUGUCACUGUUCCUCCUACAACUUCUGUUACUACCACUGUGGCUGGUACUACCACCACAACAACUGGAGAACCUGUCACUGUUCCUGCUACCAUUCCUACAACUAGGCCCACAACUACAGUGUCAAGGAAAGCAUCACCACUGUCAAUAACUACCAGCACAGCUCCAACUACCACAACAACCAACGCAACAACCACUACUACAACAACAACUACUACUACAAGUACAACAACUACAACUGCACGUCCUCGACUUGCUCCACUGGUGGCUUUCGUCAUACAAGAAGUGUUUGUAGAAGCUUUAAAUGACCCUCAAAGUACACAAUUCCAAGAACUUGCAGUAACUAUUACUGCAGUGUUUGAUGUGAUCUACAAAGCAAAAUAUGGGAUCCUCUUCAUCCGGACGAUUGUUCUUGGAUUCACACCUAUUUUCCAUUCCC
This is a long non-coding RNA of Oncorhynchus keta (chum salmon), 510 nucleotides long. RefSeq lists it as uncharacterized. Lineage: Eukaryota; Metazoa; Chordata; Actinopteri; Salmoniformes; Salmonidae. The transcript has 3 exons. The record is from RefSeq and is a predicted model, not a curated record.